AAAAAUACCGUGAAGAGGAGUAGUAGGCUUCUGGAAUCAUCAGAGAGCUGCCGGAGGGUGCGAGGCAGUUGGCAAAGGGAGCUGAACUCGCCUUGGAGUAGCCUGUUGAAGGGGAGUUUGUCUGUUCCCUGUGUAGGCAGAGCCGGGAGCCGCCCGUUAUGCGGUGAGGAGAAAAUGCCGUUUCAGUUUGCCCCUUGACCGGAUGGAUCAGGACAGCAGACAGGCAGAUUCCCCCGUAAGAGCAUGCAGACAGCAUGAAAUAGAGUGGUACCGCGCGAGAGGAUCAAGCCUUGCGUCUCUAUG
The sequence is a regulatory RNA element, 303 nucleotides long. It matches the Rfam family "T-box leader". Rfam says of the family: Uncharged tRNA acts as the effector for transcription antitermination of genes in the T-box leader family. T-boxes are found upstream of many aminoacyl-tRNA synthetase genes and some amino acid biosynthetic genes usually in Gram-positive bacteria. The anticodon of a specific tRNA base pairs to a specifier sequence within the T-box motif, and the NCCA acceptor tail of the tRNA base pairs to a conserved bulge in the T-box antiterminator hairpin. The record is from Rfam.